ACUUGAAUUGAAGAGUUUGAUCAUGGCUCAGAUUGAACGCUGGCGGCAGGCUUAACACAUGCAAGUCGAACGGUAGCAGGAGAAAGCUUGCUUUCUUGCUGACGAGUGGCGGACGGGUGAGUAAUGCUUGGGAAUCUGGCUUAUGGAGGGGGAUAACGACGGGAAACUGUCGCUAAUACCGCGUAUUAUCGGAAGAUGAAAGUGCGGGACUGAGAGGCCGCAUGCCAUAGGAUGAGCCCAAGUGGGAUUAGGUAGUUGGUGGGGUAAAGGCCUACCAAGCCUGCGAUCUCUAGCUGGUCUGAGAGGAUGACCAGCCACACUGGAACUGAGACACGGUCCAGACUCCUACGGGAGGCAGCAGUGGGGAAUAUUGCGCAAUGGGGGGAACCCUGACGCAGCCAUGCCGCGUGAAUGAAGAAGGCCUUGGGUUGUAAAGUUCUUUCGGUAUUGAGGAAGGUUGAUGUGUUAAUAGACAUCAAAUUGACGUUAAAUACAGAAGAAGCACCGGCUAACUCCGUGCCAGCAGCCGCGGUAAUACGGAGGGUGCGAGCGUUAAUCGGAAUAACUGGGCGUAAAGGGCACGCAGGCGGUUAUUUAAGUGAGGUGUGAAAGCCCCGGGCUUAACCUGGGAAUUGCAUUUCAGACUGGGUAACUAGAGUACUUUAGGGAGGGGUAGAAUUCCACGUGUAGCGGUGAAAUGCGUAGAGAUGUGGAGGAAUACCGAAGGCGAAGGCAGCCCCUUGGGAAUGUACUGACGCUCAUGUGCGAAAGCGUGGGGAGCAAACAGGAUUAGAUACCCUGGUAGUCCACGCUGUAAACGCUGUCGAUUUGGGGGUUGGGGUUUAACUCUGGCGCCCGUAGCUAACGUGAUAAAUCGACCGCCUGGGGAGUACGGCCGCAAGGUUAAAACUCAAAUGAAUUGACGGGGGCCCGCACAAGCGGUGGAGCAUGUGGUUUAAUUCGAUGCAACGCG
This 973-nucleotide ribosomal RNA is filed under the name Haemophilus influenzae. RNAcentral's name for it is "bacterial SSU rRNA". It matches the Rfam family "Bacterial small subunit ribosomal RNA", at positions 1 to 963 of the family's 1533-position model. Lineage: Bacteria; Pseudomonadati; Pseudomonadota; Gammaproteobacteria; Pasteurellales; Pasteurellaceae. The record is from RNAcentral.